ACCGGUUAUUGGAGUGAACUUAAUUUGAAACCAAAACUGGAUAAAUGGAACGCCGUAAAUAAAAAGUUUAAAAAAUGAAUUUUGGAACUUCGCAGUUGACACGCAUGCAUAUUGCACCCAUUUUAUUAUUGACCGGCCAAAAAAUGUUUCAUUGCGGACCGGUUGCCAUUUUAUUUUAUGCUUUUGUAAUCUAGAACAACAGUAACUAGGCAUGUGUGUUAUAUAAAGUUGUGAAUUGGGUAUAAACAAACGUUAUCCAAAUUUGUCUAAUCCGGCGAGACUUGGGUCAGUACACGCAUUUUUAUAAAAAUAGCAACCCUUCGGCUAAACAGGAUUCUGAUUAUCAUAUUGAGCGAGAUCAAAAUCAGGCGAGUUUCUGCAAAGUGCAUUAAACCAUAUUACCUGUAGCACUAUUUCAUGACCUAAACAUCACACAGAGAUACUUAUGUAAGUUUUCUACUCACAUUGGUCGUUCAGACAUGCACCUCCCGCCGUGGGAGCGGCAGAUCAAAGUCAUAAUCAGGAGAUUAUGGUAUUGUGUCAAUGUUUUUGACGAAGUUCUUAUUAUAUUACCAAUAUAUAUUUAAUAACAUUAGAAGAUAUAUCAGGGUCGUAGACACCACCAGAAUCGUUGUAACUGUACUAUUGUGUGUGUAAGUGUAAUUAGUGCAAGUGGAAGUCAAGUGUAAAUGUAAAGCAAUUCGAAUUCGGGAAUGUUCUGUACACGAUCGCUUGUAUAUAUUGUAAUUAUAUUUUCACAAAAUUGUAUAUAACAGCUUAUUGUAACUCUUAAAUUAUUAGUGUCGCUGAUCAGCGAACACGCGAAUGUAAACAAACAG
This is a non-coding RNA of Paramuricea clavata, 839 nucleotides long. The record is from the annotation of a GenBank genome assembly. Lineage: Eukaryota; Metazoa; Cnidaria; Anthozoa; Malacalcyonacea; Plexauridae.